CUUGCAAAACAGGUCCUUAGUGCUAUAUAAGAUAACACAGCUUAAGGUUUGAAAAAUAACAGAAUACAAAGAGAAAGAUAGUAGAGAGGGUGAGGAAGGGGGGAGAGAGAGAAAUGGAAGGAGUCAGAAAGAGUCAUCGAUUGUUAAGGGGAGGAGUGAGCAGAAGUUAUAACCAUGGCUUCUCUUCAUCUCAGAUUCAAUCAUUAGCUGCUGUAUGUGAAGCCCUAAUACCUCCAAUGCUGAAGGAAGGUGGAAGCAGCGACGGCGGUGGCAUUAACUGAUUUUGAUUUUGAUUUUGGGUUUGUGUUUGGGGUGGGGGUGGAGGAAGAAGAUGACUGACUUCCUUUCUUUUUUUUCUUUUUUUUUUAAUUUCUUAUUUUUUCUAAUUUAAUUUUUCACUUAUUUUAAUGUAAUAAACGGAAGUUACUAUUUUACCCUUUCAAAAAUAUUAAAAAUAUGGUCAAAGUCAAAAUUCUUAAUCAACUACCUGACAUUUGGAUGAAAACCGUCCAAAAGGGCCUCCGCCGCAACAUUUCGAAAGGUUUGGGGUGGCGGUUGCAAUAAAUUAAAAGUUUGGGAAAAGUCUGCUAAUAUUUUAAAGAUUUGGAGCGUCUACUGCAAUAUUCCCUUCCAAUAAUUACAUAUCUGAUUUGACCUAUGGAUGAACAUGCUUCCUUUGUAUCUCACAUGGUUUCUAUUUGGAUCGGAAUUCGUUUGAUGGUUCGAGAGUAGUUUCAAAUAUUUGUCACAUCCUCAGUGCAGUCCUUGCUCAUCAUCCACGGGCCCUAUCUUCAAGUAACUAUGUUUCAUAAUAGCAUUUGUAAGGACUAUCAAUACAUUAAAUAAUAAUAAUAAUAAAUAAAACGUAGUCUUUUGACUAUGGUAAAACUAAAACCUAAUUACUUGGACCAAAUGAAAUAUAGGCAAGACAAGAAUUAGAGGAAAGUUAGGAAAUCAUAAGACUAAUCUCAGCCACGCAAAUGCAUUGCUGUAAAGCAUUACCAUUCCAAAUACUUAUAAAUAAACUGAAAGUAAUUUUACCAAAAAAACAAUUACAAAUUAUUCUUCUUCACUUCUGUAAGUUCCCCUCAGCCUGAUGCAUCAUUUUGCAGUUAAAAACAACCUUAUUGAUACAAAUGCAGAGACAACCAAACUAGAUUUUAAAGGCAGUGAUUCCACCCCUCUUUGUCCUAAGCCUCGUCGGCUCAGGUCAGCCUUGCCUGAAUAUCUUAAUCCUCUCAAAUGCAGCAAGAACAGGUUAAUUUAAUGAGUUAAUCAAACUUAUUUUUUGGGUUAUUAUAAUUUAUAAGGAAAUAAGGAAUUUCUCUAAUUAUUUGUUUGUGCAAUGUCAUGAUCAGCAAGCCAAAUUCUGAUGCAAGAAGUGGGGUUCCAUACAUGCUUGCAGAAAAGGUUCUUUCUAAUUAUAUCCAUGUUAAUUUUUGAACCUCGAGCUUGGUGCUCAGGGUUCCUUGAGACACUAAGCAAGACAAGGCUUGAGGAUCCCGAGUACCAACCUUGGACUUGAUAUUCGUAAUGCUCGUUUAUUUUAACAUUUAUGGUGGUUUUAUGUUAAUUUUCGACGAUAUAGACAACAGAUGGACGAGGAUGCAUGUGCACUGGAUGCUCUCCCUCUUGUUACUCGGGAUCUCCACCGAGUAGGACGGAUAAUCCAUUGGUUCAUGAUGUGCAGUUCGUGCAUCAGAUGGAGGUGUUUUCGCCUUUCACUCGAAUAGAGUCACAGUCUAAUAAAUUUGAAUUCAGUACAUCUGCUUCUCCGUUUUGAGUUAGAUAUCAUUAAAACUUUGUUAAUGUAGUUGAGUUGUAAUUUUGCAGUUACAAGGAGAUUAAUGAAACGUGACGUAAUUUCUGUAUAUAC
RNAcentral lists this long non-coding RNA (1876 nucleotides) under Olea europaea subsp. europaea. The record is from RNAcentral. Lineage: Eukaryota; Viridiplantae; Streptophyta; Magnoliopsida; Lamiales; Oleaceae.